This 1926-nucleotide ribosomal RNA is filed under the name metagenome. Its description in RNAcentral is "bacterial LSU rRNA". It matches the Rfam family "Bacterial large subunit ribosomal RNA", at positions 1 to 2007 of the family's 2925-position model. The record is from RNAcentral.
UGAAGUAAGUAAGGGCGUACGGUGAAUGCCUUGGUGCCAACAGGCGAAGAAGGACGCGGCAAGCUGCGAAAAGCCUCGGGAAGCUGCAAGCAAGCGAUGAUCCGGGGAUAUCCGAAUGGGGUAACCUGAUCGAGGCAAUACUCGAUCGUUCAUACCUGAAUACAUAGGGUAUGAAACGCGAAACCCGCUGAAGUGAAACAUCUCAGUAAGCGGAGGAAAAGAAAGAGAAAUCGAUUCCGUAAGUAGUGGCGAGCGAAAGCGGAUGGAGCCCAAACCGAAGGUAUUCCUUCGGGGUUGUAGGACCACGUCAUAUUCGACCAUACUGGAUAGUAGAACAGCCUGGAAAGGCUGGCCGGAGAAGGUGAAAGCCCUGUAGACGAAAUCCAGAGUGGGAAUUAGUGGUAUCCUGAGUAAUACAUCACACGUGGAACGAUGUAUGAACCCGCGCGGACCACCGCGCAAGGCUAAAUACUAGUUGGCGACCGAUAGUGAACAAGUACCGCGAGGGAAAGGUGAAAAGAACCGCUGUGAGCGGAGUGAAAUAGAACCUGAAACCGUAUGUCUACAAAGUGUCAGAGCAGAGCAAUCUGCGAUGGCGUGCCUUUUGUUUAAUGAGUCUGCGAGUCAGUGUUUGUGGCAAGACUAAGGGCUUCCGGCCCGGAGUCGCAGCGAAAGCAAGUCCGAACAGGGCGCAAUAAGUCGCAGGUACUGGACCCGAAGCGGAGGUGACCUACCCUUGGCCAGGUUGAAGCAUGGGUAAAACCAUGUGGAGGACCGAACAGGUGAACGUUGAAAAGUUCUCUGAUGAGCUGAGGGUAGGAGUGAAAGGCUAAUCAAACCCCGUGAUAGCUGGUUCUCUUCGAAAUGCAUUUAGGUGCAGCGUCACGUGCUGAUGCGCGGGGGUAGAGCACUGACAAGGCUAGGGGGCACACCCGCUUACCAAACCUUAUCAAACUCCGAAUACCGUGCAAUGGAACGUGGCAGUGAGACAGUGGGGGAUAAGCUUCAUUGUCGAGAGGGAAACAACCCAGACCAGCAGCUAAGGUGCCUAAAUAACGCUCAGUGGAAAGGAUGUGGGAUUACACAGACAGUGAGGAUGUUGGCUUAGAAGCAGCCACCAUUUAAAAAAUGCGUAAUAGCUUACUCAUCGAGUGAUCCUGCGCCGAAAAUGAUUGGCGAUCAAGCGUUAUACCGAAGCUCUGGACUUUGCCGCAAGGCAGAGUGGUAGAAGAGCGUUGCAUGCGCGUCGAAGGGCGAUGGCGACUGACCCUGGAGCACAUGCAAGUGAGUAUGCAGACAUGAGUAACGUUAAGCCGGGUGAAAUCCCUGGCCGCCGUAAACCCGAGGUUUCCAGGGCAACGUGUUUCGUCCCUGGGUUAGCCGGGACCUAAGCCGAGGCCGAGAGGCGUAGGCGAUGGACAUCAGGUUAAUAAUCCUGAGCUCGCAACCCUUAAACUGGGGGGACGCAUGAGAAAAGAUGACUAGGUUAUUGAAUUCCGAGUUGAGUCCACGGACUCAGCGCAUCAUUGGAUCGAGUGCCAAGAAAAGCCCCAGCGUAUGCUAAGCGACCCGUACCGCAAACCGACACAGGUGGGUGGGUAGAAUAUACCAAGGCGUAAGAGUGAAACCUGGUUAAGGAACUCGGCAAAUUAACCCCGUAACUUCGGAAUAAGGGGUACUGAUGUAACAGUCAGUCGCAGAGAAAAGGCCCAAGCAACUGUUUAACAAAAACAUAGGUUUCUGCUAAAUCGAAAGAUGAAGUAUAGGAGCUGACGCCUGCCCAGUGCUGGAAGGUUAAGGGAAGAGGUUAGAUUAUAUCAAAGCUUCGAACUGAAGCCCCAGUGAACGGCGGCCGUAACUAUAACGGUCCUAAGGUAGCGAAAUUCCUUGUCAGGUAAGUUCUGACCCGCACGAAAGGCGUAAUGA